CAAACUCAACAGGUAGUCGAUAAGCACUAAAAGUAAUUUUUCACAGUUUUCUUCUUCCAUUUCAGCAUUUUCAACAGCUACGUACCAUGGUUUUGAGUUCAUAUUUCUAAUGGCAAACUGAUGUGCCAAUGAAUGAAAGAAAAACAAUUGAAGUUGAGAGUGUGACUCAGCUUGCUGCUGCAGAUGGUCUUGAAUGCUACUCGAAUGUAUUUGAGUUGCCUUAUACUUUUCCUGCUUCUUACCUUGACCCUCAAAACUACACUUCAUUAUUUCCAUUAUAUUCCAUUCCACCUGAAGUCAUCCCAUAUGAAACUUUCACGAUCCAUUGGUGAUAUAACAAGAACCACCUAGCCUUUCACCUCUUCUUAACUACUAGUUUAUUGCUUUUAUGGUCGUUGUUUGUGUAAUUGCUUAUAUGUAAUUUCCAUAUUCUUUUGUGAUUUAAAAUUGGAUCCUGUUCAGGCUCUUUCAUAAGUUGCUACUAGAGAAUUUCAUGCUUGUUUCUUCUGUUUUGGAUGACAUGUGUUACCGGGUAGUCCUCAUGCAUGAAUUGAACUUUGGCUUGUGCUUUCUGGUAUCUGAAACUCAACUGUGUAUAUAUUUUUCUCAAUAGUACUGAAUUCUUAGAGUUUCUGUGGGGCUCUGUCGUUGCUGCUGGUAAGCGAAGUAACUGUUUACUAUCCAUAGAACUGACCAUUAUUUUUAGAAGCAACACCGAAGACUAUUUUGGACCUGAUGGAUUUAGAUGGACUCAAUCUUUAUCAUGUUAAGAGUCAUUUACAAGAAUUACUUGAGUUAGGGGAGAGUGUUCGAACACAAAGUCGGGGUCUCACCCAAGAACUUAUUUCAUUGCUACCUAUUUCAAAAUACAAGUGCAGCUUAUUCUCAAGGAAGAAAUCAAGGAAAGAGAGGUGUCUACUGCUGGUGGUAUGAUUAUCUCUAGUGAUGGUGUUUGGGAUGUAGUUGUCUAAUUUUGCCCAGUAGAAUUAAGCUAAUUUUAUGCUUCAUUCUAACUAUCAUUUUUUUUCUUUAUGGAUUUUCACUAGCGUUGAUGAUGCAAAUUAAUCAUUAUUCAUUCCAAUAUAUUUGAAGAAAGGAACAUUUGCUCAG
Molecule: long non-coding RNA, 1110 nt
Organism: Gossypium arboreum
Lineage: Eukaryota; Viridiplantae; Streptophyta; Magnoliopsida; Malvales; Malvaceae
Exons: 4
Source: RefSeq, a predicted model, not a curated record